GAUGAACGCUGGCGGCGCGCCUAAUACAUGCAAGUCGAGCGAAUGGAUUAAGAGCUUGCUCUUAUGGAGUUAGCGGCGGACGGGUGAGUAACACGUGGAUAACCUGCCCAUAAGACUGGGAUAACUCCGGGAAACCGGGGCUAAUACCGGAUAAUAUUUUGAACUGCAUGGUUCAAAAUUGAAAGGCGGCUUCGGCUGUCACUUAUGGAUGGACCCGCGUCGCAUUAGCUAGUUGGUGAGGUAACGGCUCACCAAGGCAACGAUGCGUAGCCGACCUGAGAGGGUGAUCGGCCACACUGGGACUGAGACACGGCCCAGACUCCUACGGGAGGCAGCAGUAGGGAAUCUUCCGCAAUGGACGAAAGUCUGACGGAGCAACGCCGCGUGAGUGAUGAAGGCUUUCGGGUCGUAAAACUCUGUUGUUAGGGAAGAACAAGUGCUAGUUGAAUAAGCUGGCACCUUGACGGUACCUAACCAGAAAGCCACGGCUAACUACGUGCCAGCCGCCGCGGUAA
RNAcentral lists this ribosomal RNA (515 nucleotides) under uncultured bacterium. Its description in RNAcentral is "partial 16S ribosomal RNA". It matches the Rfam family "Bacterial small subunit ribosomal RNA", at positions 28 to 523 of the family's 1533-position model. The record is from RNAcentral.